RNAcentral lists this ribosomal RNA (491 nucleotides) under uncultured bacterium. RNAcentral describes it as "partial 16S ribosomal RNA". It matches the Rfam family "Bacterial small subunit ribosomal RNA", at positions 28 to 506 of the family's 1533-position model. The record is from RNAcentral.
GAUGAACGCUAGCUACAGGCUUAACACAUGCAAGUCGAGGGGCAGCGGUAUCGAAAGCUUGCUUUCGGUAGCCGGCGACCGGCGCACGGGUGAGUAACGCGUAUCGAACCUGCCUCAUACUCGGGAAUAGCCUUGCGAAAGUAAGAUUAAUGCCCGGUGUUUUCAGAGUCCCGCAUGAGGCUUUGAACAAAGAUUUAUCGGUAUGAGAUGGCGAUGCGUCCCAUUAGCUUGUUGGCGGGGUAACGGCCCACCAAGGCAUCGAUGGGUAGGGGUUCUGAGAGGAAGGUCCCCCACAUUGGAACUGAGACACGGUCCAAACUCCUACGGGAGGCAGCAGUGAGGAAUAUUGGUCAAUGGGCGGAAGCCUGAACCAGCCAAGUAGCGUGCAGGAAGACGGCCCUCCGGGUUGUAAACUGCUUUUAGUUGGGAAUAAAACGGGGCGCGUGAGCCCCCUUGCAUGUACCAUCAGAAAAAGGACCGGCGAAUUCCGG